CUGUCUCUAUUAAAAAAAAGAAGAAAAGAAAGAAUUUAGUAGCUCUUUGUUAGAAUAAUGCUUCUAAAUAUUGCCUGUGUAUUGAAAAUUUUUCACCAUAUGCUUAUUUGUAGCUUUUAAUAUUUUCAACCAAUAUCUGUAAUGAUUGGGAUAUUAUCAUCGCUAUUUCUAAAGACAAAUGCCAUCCAGUUCAUUUAAGGUCAAACUUUGAGACUGCUGUGGUGACCUAGUAUCUGGAAUUAGUAUAUUUAUAUUGGUUCUUUUGUCUCUUGAAUCUAUAAACUUUGUAUUUAAGCCAAUCUUCUUUUCUGCCUGUCUUCUAUAAACUGUUAGUAACAAAAAAAACAGUGUGCUGACUGUAUGCUUGCCUGUUGAUGCUUGUUGAAAGGGUAUUUAUUUACUCUUUCCUUUUCUUCUAAAUACUCUCUACUCUUCCUUCUCUCUUUUUUCCAUCUUGCAUGGCAUCUUGGGGCGGAAAGGAAUCAGAGUCAGAUCAAGAACAGGAGGAAGAGAUCGAUAUGACAUCAGAAAAAAAUCCACAGGAUGAGCAGGAACGGAUCGAGGAAAGGCUGGCUUAUAUUGCUGAUCACCUUGGCUUCAGCUGGACAGAAUUAGCAAGAGAACUGGAUUUCACUGAGGAGCAAAUUCAUCAAAUUCGAAUUGAAAAUCCCAACUCUCUUCAAGACCAGAGUCAUGCACUGUUGAAGUACUGGCUAGAGAGGGAUGGGAAACAUGCUACGGAUACCAACCUCGUUGAAUGUCUCACCAAGAUCAACCGAAUGGAUAUUGUUCAUCUCAUGGAGACCAACACAGAACCUCUCCAGGAGCGCAUCAGUCAU
RNAcentral lists this small RNA (839 nucleotides) under Pongo abelii (Sumatran orangutan). RNAcentral's name for it is "retained intron". Lineage: Eukaryota; Metazoa; Chordata; Mammalia; Primates; Hominidae. The record is from RNAcentral.